GAGCGGCGGACGGGUAAGUAUGCCUGGGAAAUUGCCCAGUCGAGGGGGAUAACAGUUGGAAACGACUGCUAAUACGCAUGCGCCUACGGGGAAGCAGGGGACCUUCGGGCCUUGCGCGAUUGGAUAUGCCCAGGUGGGAUUACUAUUUGUGAGGUAUGGCUCACCAAGGCGACGAUCCCUACUGGUCUGAAGAUAUCACCACACUGGAACUGAACACGGUCCAAACUCCUACGGGAGCAGCAGUGGGGAAUAUUGCACAAUGGGGGAAACCCUGAUGCAGCCAUGCCGCGUGUGUAAAGAAGGCCUUCGGGUUGUAAAGCACUUUCAGCGAGGAGGAAAGGUCAGUAGCUAAUACCUGCUGACUGUGACGUUACUCGCAGAAGAAGCACCGGCUAACUCCGUGCCAGCAGCCCGCGGUAAUACGGAGGGUGCAAGCGUUAAUCGGAAUUACUGGGCGUAAAGCGCACGCAGGCGGUUGGAUAAGUUAGAUUUGAAAGCCCCGGGCUCAACCUGGGAAUUGCAUUUUAAAACUGUCCAGCUAGAAGUCUUGUUAAGGGGGGGUAGGAUUCCAGGUUGUAGUGGUGAAAUUGCGGUAAAAGG
Molecule: ribosomal RNA, 600 nt
Filed under: uncultured bacterium
Lineage: Bacteria
Description: bacterial SSU rRNA
Rfam family: Bacterial small subunit ribosomal RNA
Source: RNAcentral